CCUACGGGUGGCAGCAGUCGAGAAUCAUUCACAAUGGGGGAAACCCUGAUGGUGCGAUGCCGCGUGGGGGAAUGUAGCCCUUCGGAUUGUAAACCCCUGUCAUCGGGGAGAAAAUUAAAAAGAUAGUACCACACGAGGAAGAGACGGCUAACUCUGUGCCAGCAGCCGCGGCAAAAGAGGGGUGUCAAGCGUUGUUCGGCAUCACGGGGCGUAAUGCGUGCGUGGGCUGGAUGGAAAGUCGGGGGGGAAGGGCGCGGGCCCAAGGCGCGAAGGGCACUUGAUACUGCGCGACUAGAGUAGGGGAGGGGUGAGCGGAAUGCUCGGUGUAGCAGUGAAAUGCAUAGAUAUCG
Molecule: ribosomal RNA, 350 nt
Filed under: uncultured bacterium
Lineage: Bacteria
Description: partial 16S ribosomal RNA
Rfam family: Bacterial small subunit ribosomal RNA
Source: RNAcentral